GACGAACGCUGGCGGCGUGCUUAACACAUGCAAGUCGAACGGAAAGGCCCUGCUUUUGUGGGGUGCUCGAGUGGCGAACGGGUGAGUAACACGUGAGUAACCUGCCCUUGACUUUGGGAUAACUUCAGGAAACUGGGGCUAAUACCGGAUAGGAGCUCCUGCUGCAUGGUGGGGGUUGGAAAGUUUCGGCGGUUGGGGAUGGACUCGCGGCUUAUCAGCUUGUUGGUGGGGUAGUGGCUUACCAAGGCUUUGACGGGUAGCCGGCCUGAGAGGGUGACCGGCCACAUUGGGACUGAGAUACGGCCCAGACUCCUACGGGAGGCAGCAGUGGGGAAUAUUGCACAAUGGGCGGAAGCCUGAUGCAGCAACGCCGCGUGCGGGAUGACGGCCUUCGGGUUGUAAACCGCUUUCGCCUGUGACGAAGCGUGAGUGACGGUAAUGGGUAAAGAAGCACCGGCUAACUACGUGCCAGCAGCCGCGGUGAUACGUAGGGUGCGAGCGUUGUCCGGAUUUAUUGGGCGUAAAGGGCUCGUAGGUGGUUGAUCGCGUCGGAAGUGUAAUCUUGGGGCUUAACCCUGAGCGUGCUUUCGAUACGGGUUGACUUGAGGAAGGUAGGGGAGAAUGGAAUUCCUGGUGGAGCGGUGGAAUGCGCAGAUAUCAGGAGGAACACCAGUGGCGAAGGCGGUUCUCUGGGCCUUUCCUGACGCUGAGGAGCGAAAGCGUGGGGAGCGAACAGGCUUAGAUACCCUGGUAGUCCACGCUGUAAACGGUGGGUACUAGGUGUGGGGUCCAUUCCACGGGUUCCGUGCCGUAGCUAACGCUUUAAGUACCCCGCCUGGGGAGUACGGCUGCAAGGCUAAAACUCAAAGGAAUUGACGGGGCCCCGCACAAGCGGCGGAGCAUGCGGAUUAAUUCGAUGCAACGCGUAGAACCUUACCUGGGUUUGACAUGGAUCGGGAGCGCUCAGAGAUGGGUGUGCCUCUUUUGGGGUCGGUUCACAGGUGGUGCAUGGCUGUCGUCAGCUCGUGUCGUGAGAUGUUGGGUUAAGUCCCGCAACGAGCGCAACCCUUGUUCACUGUUGCCAGCACGUUAUGGUGGGGACUCAGUGGAGACCGCCGGGGUCAACUCGGAGGAAGGUGGGGAUGACGUCAAGUCAUCAUGCCCCUUAUGUCCAGGGCUUCACGCAUGCUACAAUGGCUGGUACAGAGAGUGGCGAGCCUGUGAGGGUGAGCGAAUCUCGGAAAGCCGGUCUCAGUUCGGAUUGGGGUCUGCAACUCGACCUCAUGAAGUCGGAGUCGCUAGUAAUCGCAGAUCAGCAACGCUGCGGUGAAUACGUUCCCGGGGCU
This 1346-nucleotide ribosomal RNA is filed under the name uncultured bacterium. RNAcentral's name for it is "bacterial SSU rRNA". It matches the Rfam family "Bacterial small subunit ribosomal RNA", at positions 28 to 1381 of the family's 1533-position model. The record is from RNAcentral.